This 435-nucleotide ribosomal RNA is filed under the name uncultured bacterium. RNAcentral's name for it is "partial 16S ribosomal RNA". It matches the Rfam family "Bacterial small subunit ribosomal RNA", at positions 29 to 507 of the family's 1533-position model. The record is from RNAcentral.
AGCGAACGCUGGCGGCAGGCUUAACACAUGCAAGUCGAGCGGGCAUAGCAAUAUGUCAGCGGCAGACGGGUGAGUAACGCGUGGGAACGUACCUUUUGGUUCGGAACAACUGAGGGAAACUUCAGCUAAUACCGGAUAAGCCCUUACGGGGAAAGAUUUAUCGCCGAAAGAUCGGCCCGCGUCUGAUUAGCUAGUUGGUUAGGUAAUGGCUCACCAAGGCGACGAUCAGUAGCUGGUCUGAGAGGAUGAUCAGCCACAUUGGGACUGAGACACGGCCCAAACUCCUACGGGAGGCAGCAGUGGGGAAUAUUGGACAAUGGGCGCAAGCCUGAUCCAGCCAUGCCGCGUGAGUGAUGAAGGCCGUAGGGUUGUAAAGCUCUUUUGUGCGGGAAGAUAAUGACGGUACCGAAAGAAUAAGCCCCGGCUAACUUCGUG